UCAAAUCGCCAUUGGGUUCGAUCUUGAAUUUUGAAAAACAAGAAACUAUAGCAACUCCACAACGGUAGAGUUUGCUUAGUUAACUGAAAAUAUAAUGUCGCAAGCCUUUUGCGAUUCUUGUUAAUGGAAGCGAGAAAGAAAUCCAAAGUGAAGAGAUCUUUUCUCAUUUACCCAAGCAAGCCCAUUUGCAGAACAAAAACAGCAGAAGGAAAAUAGGGAAUGGAGGGCUCUUUGAAUUAUAUUCAUGGAGGACACCCAACUCAAGAAAGAUGUGGCCAAGAUGAGAUAACAAGGAGCAAAUAUUCAGAAGACAAAGAAUGUGUGGUUAAAUUGAUCGACGAUUUCACACACAAUUUGGUUUGAGUAAUAGUGUUUGAGUCCCAGCAAAGUUUGAAGACGAAAUUGGAUGGAGGUUUGGAUUCAGUUGGUAGCAAUGAAGAUAAUGCGCCUAAAGAUUUGGAUUGCCUCCUUGUAAAGUUGGAAAAGAGGCCCCUCUUAUUUGUAAAUGGUUGUUCAUGGGGAGAGAAGGUCCACGUAUUCCUGAAUUGUUAACAAGAGAUGCUCCUCAUCCUAUUUGUAGAUUGUUGUUCGUUUGGUAAGGAAGAGGUGGAUAUGUCUCCCUCAUUUGAUGAUUAUGGUGAGAUGGGUAUCUCUCCCUCAUUUGAUAAUUGAUAUGAUCUUUCUGUUGCUGGUUCAAAUAUGAUGUGGGUAAAGAUGGUCCAACUCUUGAAAUUCCUCCAACUACAUUCUGGUUUGAAUAUGUUGAGAGUGAAGGUGGACAGCCAGCUUGAGAAACAGUUUUUCAGUGUGGAUCCUUCUCAGCAAGCCAUUCAUUACCCCUGGCCUCGCCUUCUUCAAUCAUCAGCAUCAUCAUCCGCAGCCCAAACCCAGGAAAGUGAUGAGGUUAUUCCAGAAGAGAAGACAACAGUUAAGUCAGAAAGAAAGUGAAAGCAUAAAGAAAAUGUUGCCAAUCUAUCAAAGUGAUGUGAAUCUGGAUAAAUCAAGAAAUAGUGAGUCACAUACAAGAGGAACUAGAGUUGUGAAUAAAUCUUCUUGGAUUACUGUAGCAAGGUAUAUCCAAACCAUGUGGGAAUCAUGUCUGGUUGGUUCUUGAGCUUUUAGGAGACAAUUUAGGGACUCUUCUCAAACAUUAUAGUGAUAAGAUUAAAAGAGAAGGGAGAAUCAGUCGCUCAAAAUUGUGGGAGUGCAGCAAAUGAUGAAGAGGAGAAGUUGGGUGUAGAAGCCCAAGUUGGGCGAACAAAGGCAUCAGGAUUAAGCCAUUAUAGAGAACUAGAGAACUCAGGAGUUCAAGAUAGUUGAUCUUGGUAAUACCCUCCAGCUCCCCAAUCAAUUAAUGGGCGCAGAGAGUCUUCUGCGAUCUCCAUUCUCUACUCCUGCAGAUAUAUGGUCUGUUGCAUGCAUUGCCUUUGAACUUGCCACAGGUGAUUUCUUGUUUAAUCCUAAUGGGAAGAACAGUCGAGACAGGUGAUUUCUUGUUUACUCUGUGUGAUGCCCAAGAGAGUUGCUCUUGGUGGCAAGCAUUCUAAAGAUAUAGGAAGUUACUAUUUCGGUCAAUGAUCAAUGUGCUUCAAGAUAAAUUUGGGUUUGCCAAAAACGAUCCAAAUGAUUUCAGCAAAUGUCAUGUUCUUCUCUUAGAUUUUGCAUCAGAAAAGCAACCCACUGCGAUGCAAGCCAAUCUUCACCCCUAGCUUCGUGGUGGCCCUCGCCUUCUUCAAGCAUCAUUAUCCGCAGCCCAAACCCAGCAAAGUGAUGAGGUUAUUCCAAAAUAGAAGACACUAGUUUAGUAAGAAAGAUUAUGAAAGCAUGAAGAAUGUCAGCCUGUCUAAGUGACGUGCAGUGGAUAAAUCAAGAAAUGGUGUAGAAUUCUGUAAAGCAAAAAGCCAUGAUUCCUGUUUGAGCCCUGUUUUCUGUGAAAUUUCUGUCAUACAAGAGAAACUGUAGCAACGUAUAAGAAUCUGUGGGUGAAAAUGUGAAUUUAAAUGUAGAAGCAUUCCCCACGUUGUAAACUUCAGUCAUGCACAGAGACUUUCAAUAUUAAAUAUUUUUUCAAUGUUAUAUGCAAUAGGUUCUGACUAUUUUAA
This is a long non-coding RNA of Cryptomeria japonica (Japanese cedar), 2102 nucleotides long. RefSeq lists it as uncharacterized. The transcript is spliced from 3 exons. The record is from RefSeq and is a predicted model, not a curated record. Lineage: Eukaryota; Viridiplantae; Streptophyta; Pinopsida; Cupressales; Cupressaceae.